GAAUCAUGAGAAAUCAUUGAAAAGUGGGAAACUGGUCCUUAAAAUACUCAGCAUCCUAGUUACACUGUUGAUAAAAAUUGCAACUUUGCUUGGUACGACACACAGCUGAGAGAAUAGCAAGGAACUAAGGUUAUUUCAUUAAAAUCUUUGCAAAAAGCAUAUUCUUCUGAGCGCAAUGCUAUAUCAGCAUCUGCGUAUCAGUUGAAGGCUAGCCAGAUCUAUCCAUCAGUUUCCA
RNAcentral lists this unclassified non-coding RNA (235 nucleotides) under Hevea brasiliensis (rubber tree). Lineage: Eukaryota; Viridiplantae; Streptophyta; Magnoliopsida; Malpighiales; Euphorbiaceae. The record is from RNAcentral.